UCAAAAUGUGCCACCUGGAAGCAAGUC
This 27-nucleotide non-coding RNA is filed under the name Rattus norvegicus (Norway rat). Lineage: Eukaryota; Metazoa; Chordata; Mammalia; Rodentia; Muridae. The record is from RNAcentral.